GCUGGCAGGUGGGAGGACUGCCCCAAACGCCUGCCUUGGAUCUGAAGAGGCUGCUGAACACGCCUGAAGGAAGGAACCAGACGGGAGUCUCAACCCCGCCUCCCACCCCUCAAAGGGCCUCUAAAUUGCCUCAGUUAAGGCUGAGCAUCCUGGCAACAAAGACCUGGUUAUUGUCAUCUCCGUAUCCCCAGUGACUAGUGCAGUGGAGAGCACAUGGCAGACAUUCAAGGUGCACUUUCAUGCUAGGCGCAGCCAUGACCUCCACUCUGGAAACAAGCGACAGUACAGGAAGGCAGUGCCCCGAGCGAGCCUGCUCCACACCACACCCUGCUGACAGCUGAGCUCCAGAGUGCUUGGGCCCCAUAAAGCAGUGAAAGUCUCGGCUAAAAAGAGUGGGUUAAACUUACCAAUUUCACUCACAGAGAACUAAAACGUCAUGUUUGAGGCUGGUUUUCCAUAA
Eptesicus fuscus (big brown bat) is the source of this 460-nucleotide long non-coding RNA. RefSeq lists it as uncharacterized. The record is from RefSeq and is a predicted model, not a curated record. Lineage: Eukaryota; Metazoa; Chordata; Mammalia; Chiroptera; Vespertilionidae. The transcript is spliced from 3 exons.